GGCUCAGGAUGAACGCUGGCGGCGUGCUUAAUACAUGCAAGUCGAACGAAGCACCUGCGACGGAUCCCUUCGGGGUGAAGAUGCUUGUGACUGAGUGGCGGACGGGUGAGUAACGCGUGGGUAACCUGCCUUAUGCAGGGGGACAACAGUUGGAAACGACUGCUAAUACCGCAUAAGCGCACGGCACCGCAUGGUGCAGUGUGAAAAGAUUUAUCGGCAUAAGAUGGACCCGCGUCUGAUUAGGUAGUUGGUGAGGUAACGGCCCACCAAGCCGACGAUCAGUAGCCGACUUGAGAGAGUGAUCGGCCACAUUGGGACUGAGACACGGCCCAGACUCCUACGGGAGGCAGCAGUAGGGAAUAUUGCACAAUGGGGGGAACCCUGAUGCAGCCGACGCCGCGUGAGUGAUGAAGUAUUUCGGUACGUAAAGCUCUAUCAGCAGGGAAGAUAAUGACGGUACCUGACUAAGAAGCCCCGGCUAACUACGUGCCAGCAGCCGC
Molecule: ribosomal RNA, 500 nt
Filed under: uncultured bacterium
Lineage: Bacteria
Description: bacterial SSU rRNA
Rfam family: Bacterial small subunit ribosomal RNA
Source: RNAcentral